This 410-nucleotide ribosomal RNA is filed under the name uncultured bacterium. RNAcentral's name for it is "bacterial SSU rRNA". It matches the Rfam family "Bacterial small subunit ribosomal RNA", at positions 393 to 793 of the family's 1533-position model. The record is from RNAcentral.
AUCGCCGCGUGUGUGAAGAAGGCCUUCGGGGUUGUAAAGCACUUUCAGUAGGGAGGAAGGUAGUGUAGUUAACACCUGCAUUAUUUGACGUUACCUACAGAAGAAGCACCGGCUAACUCCGUGCCAGCAGCCGCGGUAAUACGGAGGGUGCGAGCGUUAAUCGGAAUUACUGGGCGUAAAGCGCAUGCAGGCGGCCUGUUAAGUCAGAUGUGAAAGCCCGGGGCUUAACCUCGGAAUUGCAUUUGAAACUGGCAGGCUAGAGUCUUGUAGAGGGGGGUAGGAAUUUCAGGUGUAGCGGUGAAAUGCGUAGAGAUCUGAAGGAAUACCAGUGGCGAAGGCGGCCCCCUGGACAAAGACUGACGCUCAGAUGCGAAAGCGUGGGGAGCAAACAGGAUUAGAUACCCUGGUAG